RNAcentral lists this ribosomal RNA (534 nucleotides) under uncultured Bacilli bacterium. Its description in RNAcentral is "bacterial SSU rRNA". It matches the Rfam family "Bacterial small subunit ribosomal RNA", at positions 187 to 706 of the family's 1533-position model. Lineage: Bacteria; Bacillati; Bacillota; Bacilli. The record is from RNAcentral.
UCAUGGUGGAGCGGUAAAAGAUGGCCUCUGGCUAUCACUUACAGAUGGGCCCGCGGCGCAUUAGCUAGUUGGUAAGGUAACGGCUUACCAAGGCGACGAUGCGUAGCCGACCUGAGAGGGUGAUCGGCCACACUGGGACUGAGACACGGCCCAGACUCCUACGGGAGGCAGCAGUAGGGAAUCUUCCGCAAUGGACGAAAGUCUGACGGAGCAACGCCGCGUGAGUGAUGAAGGUUUUCGGAUCGUAAAGCUCUGUUGUUAGGGAAGAACAAGUGCCGUUUGAAUAAGGCGGCACCUUGACGGUACCUAACCAGAAAGCCACGGCUAACUACGUGCCAGCAGCCGCGGUAAUACGUAGGUGGCAAGCGUUGUCCGGAAUUAUUGGGCGUAAAGCGCGCGCAGGCGGUCUCUUAAGUCUGAUGUGAAAGCCCACGGCUCAACCGUGGAGGGUCAUUGGAAACUGGGAGACUUGAGUACAGAAGAGGAGAGUGGAAUUCCACGUGUAGCGGUGAAAUGCGUAGAUAUGUGGAGGAA